This is a small nuclear RNA of 164 nucleotides. Its record names the gene U1. It matches the Rfam family "U1 spliceosomal RNA". From Rfam's summary of the family: U1 is a small nuclear RNA (snRNA) component of the spliceosome (involved in pre-mRNA splicing). Its 5' end forms complementary base pairs with the 5' splice junction, thus defining the 5' donor site of an intron. There are significant differences in sequence and secondary structure between metazoan and yeast U1 snRNAs, the latter being much longer (568 nucleotides as compared to 164 nucleotides in human). The record is from Ensembl.
AUACUUACCUGGCAGGGGUGACACCAUGAUCAAGAAGGUGGUUUGCCCAAGGCGAGGCUCUGUCAUUGCACCCUGACCGUGCUGACCCUUGUGAAUUCCCCAAAUGUGGGAAUCUCAACUGCAUAAUUUGUGGUAGUGGGGGACUGCGUCCGCGCUCUCCCCUG